This 595-nucleotide ribosomal RNA is filed under the name uncultured bacterium. RNAcentral's name for it is "bacterial SSU rRNA". It matches the Rfam family "Bacterial small subunit ribosomal RNA", at positions 900 to 1504 of the family's 1533-position model. The record is from RNAcentral.
CUCAAAGGAAUUGACGGGGGCCCGCACAAGCGGUGGAGCAUGUGGUUUAAUUCGAUGAUACGCGAGGAACCUUACCUGGGCUUAAAUGUAGGAUGCCAGUCCCCGAAAGGGGAUCUUCCUUCGGGACGUCUUACAAGGUGCUGCAUGGUUGUCGUCAGCUCGUGCCGUGAGGUGUCGGGUUAAGUCCCAUAACGAGCGCAACCCCUAUCAUUAGUUGCCAUCAGGUCAAGCUGGGGACUCUAAUGAAACUGCCUACGCAAGUAGUGAGGAAGGUGGGGAUGACGUCAAAUCAGCACGGCCCUUAUGUCCAGGGCUACACACGUGCUACAAUGGCCGGUACAGAGGGUCGCUACCUGGUGACAGGAUGCUAAUCUCGAAAGCCGGUCUCAGUUCGGAUUGGAGUCUGCAACUCGACUCCAUGAAGCUGGAAUCGCUAGUAAUCGCACAUCAGCCAUGGCGCGGUGAAUACGUUCCCGGGCCUUGUACACACCGCCCGUCAAGCCAUGGAAGUUGGGGGUACCUAAAGUCCGUAACCGCAAGGAGCGGCCUAGGGUAAAACCAAUGACUGGGGCUAAGUCGUAACAAGGUAUCCGUA